UACAGAGGUCCCGAGCGUUGUUCGGAUUCACUGGGCGUAAAGGGUGCGUAGGCGGUUCUGAAAGUCUGAUGUGAAAUCUCCGGGCCCAACCCGGAAAUGGCAUUAGAAACUGCAGGGCUAGAGGCUUGGAGGGGGAACUGGAAUGCUCGGUGUAGCAGUGAAAUGCGUAGAGAUCGAGCGGAACACCAGUGGCGAAGGCGACUACCUGGCCUGUUUCUUGACGCUGAGGCGCGAAAGCUAGGGGAGCAAACGGG
This 254-nucleotide ribosomal RNA is filed under the name uncultured bacterium. RNAcentral describes it as "partial 16S ribosomal RNA". It matches the Rfam family "Bacterial small subunit ribosomal RNA", at positions 524 to 776 of the family's 1533-position model. The record is from RNAcentral.